GAGAGAGAGAGAUGGGCGGCGGGUGUCGCUGUUAUUAGAGAAAACCAUUCCGUGUUUAUUUUAUAGAUUUUGGACCGGAUGUCGCCAUUUUUAAGAGCGGAUGUAUUAAAUUUUUACGAAUACUUGGACACACACUUGUCAAAAUAAAGCGUUCAAGCGUUUUUAAAAGAAACCUGCCAUUGUAACAGAAGGAAAUGAAGAACUGGGGAGAUGGAGAACUGAAGAACUAGAGAAAUUGAGAACUGGG
Long non-coding RNA from Ictalurus furcatus (blue catfish), 247 nucleotides. RefSeq lists it as uncharacterized. NCBI's taxonomy places the organism in Eukaryota, Metazoa, Chordata, Actinopteri, Siluriformes, Ictaluridae. The record is from RefSeq and is a predicted model, not a curated record. The transcript has 3 exons.